UGGUCAUGUACCGGCGACGUGUCUAUCAAGUGUCUGCCUUAUCAACUUUCGAUGGUAGUUUAUGUGCCUACCAUGGUUGUUACGGGUAACGGAGAAUAAGGGUUCGACUCCGGAGAGGGAGCCUGAGAAACGGCUACCACAUCCAAGGAAGGCAGCAGGCGCGCAAAUUACCCACUCUCGGCAUGAGGAGGUAGUGACGAAAAAUAACGAGACCGUUCUCCAAUGAGGCCGGUUAUCGGAAUGGGUACAAUUUAAACCCGUUAACGAGGAUCUAUGAGAGGGCAAGUCUGGUGCCAGCAGCCGCGGUAAUUCCAGCUCUCAAAGUGUAUAUCGUCAUUGCUGCGGUUAAAAAGCUCGUAGUUGGAUCUGCGCUUGAGGACUCGGUCCACCCUUUCGGUGCUGAACUGGGCUCCUCGGCUACAAUUGUGCUGGUUUUCCCUACGUUGCCUUUACCGGUCGCGUAGGGUGGCUAGCGAGUUUACUUUGAAAAAAUUAGAGUGCUUAAAGCGGGCUUUAUUGCCUGAAUAUUUGUGCAUGGAAUAAUAGAAUAGGAUCUCGGCUCUAUUUUGUUGGUUUUCUGAUCUGAGAUAAUGGUUAAGAGGGACAGACGGGGGCAUUCGUAUCGCUGCGUGAGAGGUGAAAUUCUUGGACCGUAGCGAGACGCCCUACUGCGAAAGCAUUUGCCAAGAAUGUCUUCAUUAAUCAAGAACGAAAGUCAGAGGUUCGAAGGCGAUCAGAUAC
This 741-nucleotide ribosomal RNA is filed under the name Rhabditida sp. 2 CK-2021. RNAcentral's name for it is "SSU rRNA". It matches the Rfam family "Eukaryotic small subunit ribosomal RNA", at positions 274 to 1015 of the family's 1831-position model. The record is from RNAcentral. Lineage: Eukaryota; Metazoa; Nematoda; Chromadorea; Rhabditida.